CAAAUUGUAGCUUAAUCAAAGCCUUUCGCUUACACCGAAAAUAUGUCUGUUAAACCCGGGCCACUUUGA
This 69-nucleotide transfer RNA is filed under the name Pithecopus megacephalus (large-headed leaf frog). RNAcentral describes it as "tRNA-Val". It matches the Rfam family "tRNA". From Rfam's summary of the family: Transfer RNA (tRNA) molecules are approximately 80 nucleotides in length. Their secondary structure includes four short double-helical elements and three loops (D, anti-codon, and T loops). The record is from RNAcentral. Lineage: Eukaryota; Metazoa; Chordata; Amphibia; Anura; Hylidae.